RNAcentral lists this unclassified non-coding RNA (214 nucleotides) under uncultured Pezizales. RNAcentral describes it as "sequence contains ITS2". Lineage: Eukaryota; Fungi; Ascomycota; Pezizomycetes; Pezizales. The record is from RNAcentral.
CAAAAACAUAAACCUGCCAAGGUUUGCUUUUGAGAGAUGAGCCCCCGGUGCGUGUGCUCCCUCUAGAAUUCCAGAGAGCGAACUGUGAAGCAAAAGCUAAACCCAGCGGGUGGCUGUAGGCAGUAGUAAAAGAAAUUUUUCUCGCCAUAUGUCACCACUGCUUACGGGUUUUGCGUGUAACAGGUCAGCCGAUCGAACGAAAAUCUACUUCUGU